UGAAGCGGCAACAGCUCAAAUUUGAAAUCUGGNCCCUCGGGGCCCGAGUUUGUAAUUUGCAGAGGAAACUUUUGGCAAGGAGCCUUCCGAGUUCCCUGGAACGGGACGCCGCAGAGGGUAACAGCCCCGUACGGUCGGACUCCGAGCCUCUGUAAAGUUCCUUCGACGAGUCGAGUAGUUUGGGAAUGCUGCUCUAAAUGGGAGGUAAACCCCUUCUAAAGCUAAAUACUGGCCAGAGACCGAUAGCGCACAAGUAGAGUGAUCGAAAGAUGAAAAGCACUUUGAAAAGAGAGUUAAACAGCACGUGAAAUUGUUAAAAGGGAAGCGCUUGUGACCANACUUGUGCCCGGCGGUUCAGCCGUCCUUCUGGGCGGUGCAUUCCGUCGGCUCAGGCCAGCAUCAGUUCGCGGCGGGGGAGAAAAUCAGCGGGAACGUGGCUCUUCGGAGUGUUAUAGCCCGCUGUAAUACCCUGCUACGGACUGAGGUUCGCGCAUCUGCAUGGAUGCCGGCGUAAUGGUUAUCAGCGACCCGUCUUGAAACACGGACCAAGGAGUCGUCCUAGUAUGCGAGUGUUAGGGUGUAAAACCCCCUACGCGAAAUAAAAGUGAACGGAGGUGAGAGCUUCGGCGCAUCAUCGACCGAUCCUGAUGUCUUCGGAUGGAUUUGAGUAUGAGCAUAUUGGGCCGGACCCGAAAGAAGGUGAACUAUGCUUGUAUAGGGUGAAGUCAGAGGAAACUCUGAUGGAGGCUCGCAGCGGUUCUGACGUGCAAAUCGAUCGUCAAAUAUGAGCAUGGGGGCGAAAGACUAAUCGAACCUUCUAGUAGCUGGUUUCCGUCGAAGUUUCCCUCAGGAUAGCAGUGUUGAUCUUCAGUUUUAUGAGGUAAAGCGAAUGAUUAGGGAAUCGGGGGCGCUAUUUAGCCUUCAUCCAUUCUCAAACUUUAAAUAUGUAAGAAGCCCUCGUUUCUUCAGUGAACGUGGGCAUUCGAAUGUGCAACACUAGUGGGCCAUUUUUGGUAAGCAGAACUGGCGAUGCGGGAUGAACCGAUCGCGGGGAUAAGGUGCCGGAGUGGACGCUCAUCUGAUACCACAAAAGGUGUUAUCACAUCUAGACAGCAGGACGGUGGCCAUGGAAGUCGGAAUCCGCUAAGGACUGUGUAACAACUCACCUGCCGAAUGUGAUAGCCCUGAAAAUGGAUGGCGCUCAAGCGUCCCACCCAUACCCCGCCCUCAGGGUAGACACUAUGCCCCUG
This 1250-nucleotide ribosomal RNA is filed under the name Bovicornua intricata. RNAcentral's name for it is "eukaryotic LSU rRNA". It matches the Rfam family "Eukaryotic large subunit ribosomal RNA", at positions 94 to 1376 of the family's 3401-position model. Lineage: Eukaryota; Fungi; Ascomycota; Sordariomycetes; Microascales; Halosphaeriaceae. The record is from RNAcentral.